UGGUGACCAUAGCAGAGUGGAAAUACACGUUCCCAUCCCGAACACGUAAGUAAAACGCUCUAACGCCGAUGGUACUUGAGCUUGCCUCAGGGAGAGUAGGUAGCUGCCA
This 109-nucleotide ribosomal RNA is filed under the name chicken gut metagenome. The record is from RNAcentral.